GGCUGGGACUGCACAAGGACUGUCCAACGUUAGCACUUCAGCUACUCAACCUUUGUCUGACACGUAUGGACAAGACGUGAAGGUAGAGAGAAGCUCCCUUAAAGAGGUGUAGUCUCUGGUACCUGGCAAUUUUUCCAGAGGAAGAAGAUGGGACCCAGACACGCCACUGAUUGUUAACCAAUUGGCUGUCAUUUCCAGCCUAAACCAUUCUGAAUUGGAUAAUGAUGGUCUGGUCAUGCUUCUUCGGUGGGCUACUCCUUCCUAUAUGGACAGAUGCUGUUCCUCUGAGCAUUCCUGAGAAAGCUUUUGUACACAAAUGUUCAUCUCAGGACCUGGCCCCUUGGGAUCCUGACCUUUGUGCCAGGAGGACACCACAAAAGAAGAAUCUAAAAUGGGAAUUUGGAACUGAAUAGCCACUAACCUGAUAGCACCCCAAUAUCAUCA
RNAcentral lists this long non-coding RNA (444 nucleotides) under Felis catus (domestic cat). Its description in RNAcentral is "lncRNA (ENSFCAG00000043554.2)". Lineage: Eukaryota; Metazoa; Chordata; Mammalia; Carnivora; Felidae. The record is from RNAcentral.